Molecule: ribosomal RNA, 1360 nt
Filed under: Limosilactobacillus mucosae
Lineage: Bacteria; Bacillati; Bacillota; Bacilli; Lactobacillales; Lactobacillaceae
Description: bacterial LSU rRNA
Source: RNAcentral
CAGAUAACUCCGAAUGCCAUUGWUUACUCGGAGUCACACGGUGAGUGAUAAGAUCCAUCGUGGAAGGACAGCCAGAUCAUCAGCUAAGGUCCCUAAAUAUAUGCUAAGUGGAAAAGGAUGUGGAAUUGCACAGACAACUAGGAUGUUGGCUCAGAAGCGGCCAUCAUUUAAAGAGUGCGUAAUAGCUCACUAGUCGAGUGACUCUGCGCCGAAAUGUACCGGGCUAAGCAUAUUACCGAAGCUAUGGAUGCAUCCAUCAGGAUGCGUGGUAGGAGAGCGUUCCAAGGGCGAUGAAGUCAGACCGUAAGGACUGGUGGAGCGCUUGGAAGUGAGAAUGCCGGUAUGAGUAGCGAAAGACAGGUGAGAAUCCUGUCCACCGAAUGACUAAGGUUUCCUGGGGAAGGCUCGUCCUCCCAGGGUUAGUCGGGACCUAAGUCGAGGCCGAGAGGCGUAGACGAUGGACAACAGGUUGAUAUUCCUGUACCAGUUGAUUGUGCUUGAGUGAUGGAGUGACGCAGAAGGCUAAGCGAUCCGGACGAUUGGAAGUGUCCGGCCAAGCAGCAAGUCAGUUGAUGAGUCAAAUGCUUAUCAGCGAGUUGACAAGCUGUGAUGGGGAGCGAAAUUAUAGUAGCGAAGUCGUUGAUGUCACGCUGCCGAGAAAAGCUUCUAGCGAAUAAUCAACUGCCCGUACCGCAAACCGACACAGGUAGUCGAGGAGAGUAUCCUAAGGUGAGCGAGCGAACUCUCGUUAAGGAACUCGGCAAAAUGACCCCGUAACUUCGGGAGAAGGGGUGCUGAUCGCAAGAUCAGCCGCAGUGAAAAGGCCCAGGCGACUGUUUAUCAAAAACACAGGUUUCUGCAAAAUCGUAAGAUGAAGUAUAGGGGCUGACGCCUGCCCGGUGCUGGAAGGUUAAAAGGAAGAGUUAGCUUCGGCGAAGCCCUGAAUUGAAGCCCCAGUAAACGGCGGCCGUAACUAUAACGGUCCUAAGGUAGCGAAAUUCCUUGUCGGGUAAGUUCCGACCCGCACGAAAGGCGUAACGAUCUGGGCACUGUCUCAACGAGAGACUCGGUGAAAUUGAAUUGCCUGUGAGGAUGCRGGCUACCCGCGACAGGACGGAAAGACCCCAUGGAGCUUUACUGUAGCUUGAUAUUGAGUGCUUGUACUGCUUGUACAGGAUAGGUAGGAGCCAUAGAAGCCAGGACGCUAGUUUUGGCAGAGGCGUUGGUGGGAUACUACCCUUGCAUUAUGAUCACUCUAAACCCGCACCACUGAUCGUGGUGGGAGACAGUGUCAGGUGGGCAGUUUGACUGGGCGGUCGCCUCCCAAAGAUAACGGAGGCGCCAAGGUUCGCUCAGAAUG